RNAcentral lists this ribosomal RNA (472 nucleotides) under uncultured bacterium. Its description in RNAcentral is "SSU rRNA". It matches the Rfam family "Bacterial small subunit ribosomal RNA", at positions 26 to 518 of the family's 1533-position model. The record is from RNAcentral.
AGGACGAACGCUGGCGGCGUGCUUAACACAUGCAAGUCGAGCGGAAAGGCCCUUCGGGGUACUCGAGCGGCGAACGGGUGAGUAACACGUGAGUAAUCUGCCCCUAGCUCUGGGAUAGCUCCGGGAAACCGGGAUUAAUACCAGAUACGACCACUUUAGACAUCUGCUGUGGUGGAAAGAAUUUCGGCUAGGGAUGAGCUCGCGGCCUAUCAGCUUGUUGGUGAGGUAACGGCUCACCAAGGCGACGACGGGUAGCCGGCCUGAGAGGGCGACCGGCCACACUGGGACUGAGACACGGCCCAGACUCCUACGGGAGGCAGCAGUGGGGAAUAUUGCGCAAUGGGCGAAAGCCUGACGCAGCGACGCCGCGUGGGGGAUGAAGGCCUUCGGGUUGUAACCCCUUUCAGCAGGGACGAAGCGAAGUGACGGUACCUGCAGAAGAAGCGCCGGCUAACUACGUGCCAGCAGCCGC